AUUGAACGCUGGCGGCAGGCCUAACACAUGCAAGUCGAGCGGAUGAAGGGGGCUUGCUCCUGGAUUCAGCGGCGGACGGGUGAGUAAUGCCUAGGAAUCUGCCUGGUGGUGGGGGAUAACGUCCGGAAACGGGCGCUAAUACCGCAUACGUCCUGAGGGAGAAAGUGGGGGAUCUUCGGACCUCACGCUAUCAGAUGAGCCUAGGUCGGAUUAGCUAGUUGGUGGGGUAAAGGCCUACCAAGGCGACGAUCCGUAACUGGUCUGAGAGGAUGAUCAGUCACACUGGAACUGAGACACGGUCCAGACUCCUACGGGAGGCAGCAGUGGGGAAUAUUGGACAAUGGGCGAAAGCCUGAUCCAGCCAUGCCGCGUGUGUGAAGAAGGUCUUCGGAUUGUAAAGCACUUUAAGUUGGGAGGAAGGGCAGUAAGUUAAUACCUUGCUGUUUUGACGUUACCAACAGAAUAAGCACCGGCUGACUUCGUG
This 484-nucleotide ribosomal RNA is filed under the name uncultured bacterium. RNAcentral's name for it is "partial 16S ribosomal RNA". It matches the Rfam family "Bacterial small subunit ribosomal RNA", at positions 30 to 507 of the family's 1533-position model. The record is from RNAcentral.